This 429-nucleotide ribosomal RNA is filed under the name Pseudomonadota bacterium. RNAcentral's name for it is "Proteobacteria bacterium partial 16S ribosomal RNA". It matches the Rfam family "Bacterial small subunit ribosomal RNA", at positions 355 to 776 of the family's 1533-position model. The record is from RNAcentral. Lineage: Bacteria; Pseudomonadati; Pseudomonadota.
UGGGGAAUAUUGGACAAUGGGCGAAAGCCUGAUCCAGCCAUGCCGCGUGUGUGAAGAAGGUCUUCGGAUUGUAAAGCACUUUAAGUUGGGAGGAAGGGCAGUAAGCGAAUACCUUGCUGUUUUGACGUUACCGACAGAAUAAGCACCGGCUAACUCUGUGCCAGCAGCCGCGGUAAUACAGAGGGUGCAAGCGUUAAUCUGAAUUACUGGGCGUAAAGCGCGCGUAGGUGGUUCGUUAAGUUGAAUGUGAAAGCCCCGGGCUCAACCUGGGAACUGCAUCGAAAACUGGCGAGCUAGAGUAGGGCAGAGGGUGGUGGAAUUUCCUGUGUAGCGGUGAAAUGCGUAGAUAUAGGAAGGAACACCAGUGGCGAAGGCGACCACCUGGGCUCAUACUGACACUGAGGUGCGAAAGCGUGGUGAGCAAACAGG